Molecule: ribosomal RNA, 400 nt
Filed under: uncultured bacterium
Lineage: Bacteria
Description: bacterial SSU rRNA
Rfam family: Bacterial small subunit ribosomal RNA
Source: RNAcentral
GGGGAAUAUUGCACAAUGGAGGAAACUCUGAUGCAGCAACGCCGCGUGGAGGAUGACGCAUUUCGGUGUGUAAACUCCUUUUAUAAGGGAAGAUAAUGACGGUACCUUAUGAAUAAGCACCGGCUAACUCCGUGCCAGCAGCCGCGGUAAUACGGAGGGUGCAAGCGUUACUCGGAAUCACUGGGCGUAAAGGAUGCGUAGGCUGUAAUAUAAGUCAGGAGUGAAAUCCAACGGCUCAACCGUUGAACUGCUCUUGAAACUGUUUUACUAGAAUAUGGGAGAGGUAGAUGGAAUUGGUGGUGUAGGGGUAAAAUCCGUAGAUAUCACCAGGAAUACCGAUUGCGAAGGCGAUCUACUGGAACAUUAUUGACGCUGAGGCAUGAAAGCGUGGGGAGCAAAC